AUGUCUUCACAGAAAGUUUUCUCAUUGAAAGGUGGCAUUAAAUUCAGUUUAGCAAAGGACAGAGAAGAGGAUUUAAGGACAGGCAGAUCCUCAGCAUGGUUCAGAAACGCUUGGUUUAUCUGUGUCUCUGAAUCUGCAUUAAAUCUCCACCUGGAAAAUGCUGAACAGAAAAUGGGUACAACCUCACAUCUUAUGAAGAUGAUCUCAUUCCUAGCUUUCACAUCUUAUGAAGAUGAUCUCAUUCCUAGCUUGGUGCUCUGGAUCCAAAGCUUAUCUUUCCAGCAGGCUCUGGCUGAGAUUCUAUUCACCUGGUGAAACAAUGAAUCCCCAGAGGAUAUCCAGUCAGAGCCAAGGGAGAGCAACACGUGUCAAGGCACUGGGAGGCCAUCCAAGAGGGCAUUGCAGAGGCACUGAAUACAUGGCAUUGCUGUUAACAUUUUGGCAGACCAGGAAGAAGGGGAAAAAAAGAAAAGUACCAGGGGGAUUCCUACUGGCUUACUGUCCAGUUGCUCCCAAGUCCUUGCUUAAUCUAGAAAGGACAAGGUGA
This 547-nucleotide long non-coding RNA is filed under the name Cyanistes caeruleus (blue tit). RNAcentral's name for it is "lncRNA (ENSCCEG00000019921.1)". Lineage: Eukaryota; Metazoa; Chordata; Aves; Passeriformes; Paridae. The record is from RNAcentral.